AACGAACGCUGGCGGCAGGCCUAACACAUGCAAGUCGAGCGAGGACUUCGGUUCUAGCGGCGGACGGGUGAGUAACGCGUGGGAAUGUGCCCUUCUCUACGGAAUAGCCCUGGGAAACUGGGAGUAAUACCGUAUACGCCCUAUUGGGGAAAGAUUUAUCGGAGAAGGAUCAGCCCGCGUUGGAUUAGGUAGUUGGUGGGGUAAUGGCCUACCAAGCCGACGAUCCAUAGCUGGUUGGAGAGGAUGAUCAGCCACACUGGGACUGAGACACGGCCCAGACUCCUACGGGAGGCAGCAGUGGGGAAUCUUAGACAAUGGGGGCAACCCUGAUCUAGCCAUGCCGCGCGAGUGAUGAAGGCCUUAGGGUUGUAAAGCUCUUUCAGCUGGGAAGAUAAUGACGGUACCAGCAGAAGAAGCCCCGGCUAACUCCGU
Molecule: ribosomal RNA, 432 nt
Filed under: uncultured bacterium
Lineage: Bacteria
Description: partial 16S ribosomal RNA
Rfam family: Bacterial small subunit ribosomal RNA
Source: RNAcentral